AGAUUGAACGCUGGCGGCAUGCCUUACACAUGCAAGUCGAACGGCAGCACGGGGGCAACCCUGGUGGCGAGUGGCGAACGGGUGAGUAAUGCAUCGGAACGUGCCCAGUAGUGGGGGAUAACUAGUCGAAAGAUUAGCUAAUACCGCAUACGACCUAAGGGUGAAAGCGGGGGAUUCGCAAGAACCUCGCGCUAUCGGAGCGGCCGAUGUCUGAUUAGCUAGUUGGCGGGGUAAAAGCCCACCAAGGCUUCGAUCAGUAGCUGGUCUGAGAGGACGACCAGCCACACUGGGACUGAGACACGGCCCAGACUCCUACGGGAGGCAGCAGUGGGGAAUUUUGGACAAUGGGCGCAAGCCUGAUCCAGCCAUGCCGCGUGCGGGAAGAAGGCCGUUCGGUGUAAACCGCUUUGGCAGGAACGAAACGGCGCGAGCGAAUAUCUCGCGUUAAGUGACGGUACCUGCAGAAUAAGACACCGGACUAACUACGUGCCAGCAGCCGA
This 500-nucleotide ribosomal RNA is filed under the name uncultured soil bacterium. RNAcentral describes it as "bacterial SSU rRNA". It matches the Rfam family "Bacterial small subunit ribosomal RNA", at positions 26 to 518 of the family's 1533-position model. The record is from RNAcentral.